GAUGAACGCUAGCGGCAGGCCUAAUACAUGCAAGUCGAACGGUAAGGCCCUUUCGGGGGUACACGAGUGGCGGACGGGUGCGUAACGCGUAUGCAACAUGCCUUCCAGCGGGGGAUAUACCAGGGAAACUUGGCGCAAUACCCCAUAGAAUUACGGGACCGCAUGGUCUUGUGAUUAAAACUCCGGUGCUGGGAGAUUGGCAUGCGUGACAUUAGCUAGUUGGCGGGGUAACGGCCCACCAAGGCGACGAUGUCUAGCUGGUCUGAGAGGAUGAUCAGCCACACUGGGACUGAGACACGGCCCAGACUCCUACGGGAGGCAGCAGUAGGGAAUAUUGGACAAUGGGGGGAACCCGUCGAUCCAGCCAUGCCGCGUGAGGGAAGAAGGUCC
This 390-nucleotide ribosomal RNA is filed under the name uncultured bacterium. Its description in RNAcentral is "bacterial SSU rRNA". It matches the Rfam family "Bacterial small subunit ribosomal RNA", at positions 28 to 417 of the family's 1533-position model. The record is from RNAcentral.